CCUACGGGAGACAGCAGUCGAGAAUCAUUCACAAUGGGGGAAACCCUGAUGGUGCGACGCCGCGUGGGGGAAUGAAGGUCUUCGGAUUGUAAACCCCUGUCAUGUGGGAGCAAAUUAAAAAGAUAGUACCACAAGAGGAAGAGACGGCUAACUCUGUGCCAGCAGCCGCGGUAAUACAGAGGUCUCAAGCGUUGUUCGGAAUCACUGGGCGUAAAGCGUGCGUAGGCUGUUUCGUAAGUCGUGUGUGAAAGGUGCGGGCUCAACCCGCGGACGGCACAUGAUACUGCGAGACUAGAGUAAUGGAGGGGGAACCGGAAUUCUCGGUGUAGCAGUGAAAUGCGUAGAUAUCGAGAGGAACACUCGUGGCGAAGGCGGGUUCCUGGACAUUAACUGACGCUGAGGCACGAAGGCCAGGGGAGCGAAAGGGAUUAGAUACCCGAGUAGUC
Molecule: ribosomal RNA, 446 nt
Filed under: uncultured bacterium
Lineage: Bacteria
Description: partial 16S ribosomal RNA
Rfam family: Bacterial small subunit ribosomal RNA
Source: RNAcentral